Long non-coding RNA from Nymphaea colorata (pocket water lily), 753 nucleotides. RefSeq lists it as uncharacterized. The transcript is spliced from 5 exons. The record is from RefSeq and is a predicted model, not a curated record. Lineage: Eukaryota; Viridiplantae; Streptophyta; Magnoliopsida; Nymphaeales; Nymphaeaceae.
GGGCAGCUCUCUUGCCUUUCUUUGGCAAAGAACCCAUUUAUGUUCUUCUCAUGGUAGGUGCGGUUUCUAAAGUUGGUGCAUCUUGCCAAGCCAAUGGUGUGUGCCCCUGCUUUCACAAUAAGCAACAGACAGUCACAAAAUGUAAUCAAAGUGUUCGGGAUCGCCAAGAAAUGGAAAAAGCUGAACAGGUGGUUUUCCAAGCUUUGGUGGAAAUACUUCAAAGAGGCCAAAACCUUUGAGACCAAGGAGCAGGUUUCUCCAGAAAAGUAGCAGCUAGCCGCACAAGUACUUCAGAAUCAUUUAUCUCUUAAGUUGACGGCCGCCGCCCGCCGAUAUCUCCAGAAAAUACCAGUGGACCACCAUAGUUGAAUCAGUUGUCAGUCAUCCUCCUGCGAAAAGAUCGCCUCAACCACCCUCUGUCCUAUCUUCCAAAUCCUAUUCGUAAUGCUACGAAUGGAUGGGUGCUGCCAAUUACCAUGGGCAGCUUGAUUGCGAGUCCACCAGAGUUGCCAUACUACAAUAUGGAACAUUAAGCAGUCGGCUCGUUCAUUUGUGCCCAAUCUGCAGCAGGCCACUACUAAUUCUAAGCAUUCAUCGACCACUCUGCAGUCCAUGAUUCGUCGAACAGUUAUUAACAGAGAAAAAAAAACAAAGGUAAAAGCGACACGAAGAACCAGCAGACUCUAACGGACAAAGACUGCUUUAAGGCACACAUGAUCAUUUGGACCAUUGAACGUACAAGGCCCCCAACAU